GGGUCAGUAGGUUGGUCGUGCCACCGGUACGUACUGGUCUCACUGAUUCCUCCCUCCUGAAGAACCGUAAUGCCAUUAAUUUGGUGUUGCGGGGAAACAGGACUGUUACUUUGAAAAAAUUAGAGUGUUUAAAGCAAGCUAACGCUUGAAUACAUUAGCAUGGAAUAAUGAAAUAGGACGAUCGAUCCUAUUUUGUUGGUUUCUAGGAUUGACUUA
RNAcentral lists this ribosomal RNA (216 nucleotides) under Glomeromycotina sp. RNAcentral describes it as "partial small subunit ribosomal RNA". The stretch from base 87 to 216 matches the Rfam family "Eukaryotic small subunit ribosomal RNA", at positions 733 to 864 of the family's 1831-position model. Lineage: Eukaryota; Fungi; Glomeromycota. The record is from RNAcentral.